RNAcentral lists this ribosomal RNA (459 nucleotides) under uncultured bacterium. RNAcentral's name for it is "bacterial SSU rRNA". It matches the Rfam family "Bacterial small subunit ribosomal RNA", at positions 53 to 507 of the family's 1533-position model. The record is from RNAcentral.
ACAUGCAAGUCGAACGAGAAGACAGGACUCGGUCCUGUGGCGAGUGGCGAACGGUGCGUACACGUGAGCAACCUGCCCCUAAGUACGGAAUAGCCCACCGAAAGGUGGAUUAAUACCGCAUGUGACCCUUUAUCGCAUGGUAGAGUGGUUAAAGCUUGUAAUGGCGCUUAGGGGAUGGGCUCGCGGCCUAUCAGCUUGUUGGUGAGGUAACGGCUCACCAAGGCUAAGACGGGUAGCUGGUCUGAGAGGAUGAUCAGCCACACCGGGACUGAGACACGGCCCGGACACCUACGGGUGGCAGCAGUUUCGAAUCAUUCACAAUGGGCGAAAGCCUGAUGAUGCAAUGCCGCGUGGAGGAUGACGGCCCUAGGGUUGUAAACUCCUGUCAUUAGGGAACAACAAGUAGGUUCAUAGCCUACCCUGAGUUAACCUAAAGAGGAAGAGGUGGCUAACUCCGUG